Molecule: long non-coding RNA, 692 nt
Filed under: Phoenix dactylifera (date palm)
Lineage: Eukaryota; Viridiplantae; Streptophyta; Magnoliopsida; Arecales; Arecaceae
Description: long non-coding RNA (PDAC_LNC005449)
Source: RNAcentral
ACGGAUACAUAUGUAAAAAUAAAGAUUAAAAAAUAGAAUAACAAAAUAAGUAUUUUAGGAGGUAUACAUGUAAUUAUUAAUUUUGAGAUGGUAUGCAUAUAAAAUUUGAUAUUAGGAGGUAGUCAUAAAAAAAAAAAAGCCUUUAAAAGAGAGAGAGAGAGAGAGAGAGAGAGAGAGAGAGAGAGAGAGAGAGAGAGAGAAGAAGAANNNNNNNNNNNNNNNNNNNNGACGCACUGUCCUAAAACCGUUAUUGCUCCCCACGUGCAGGUAUUGGCGGUCAGCGACGGCUCCAAGAUACAACCCAAACGGCUCACAGCGGGCCUAAUCUACAGUGCACGUCUAUAGUAGGCAGAUUACCUAGUCUAUAUCGGUUGCCCAAUAAUAUAGAAAAUUGUAAAAGAGAGAAUGGUGGUAGAGAGAAACAAUGAGAGGAAGAAGAAGGGUUUUGUAUUGUAUUUUUUGUUAGAUACAAGGAAUGGCUCUUUUAUAGGCCUUUUGUCAUCCAACCAUAACGGUUGAAUACUUAUGGCCUCAUUAAGGCCAUAAUGAAAGAUAAUGGGAAGUUUUGAAACUUCCAAAUGGAAUUUGAAAAACUUAAAGGUUAUAACAACUCUUUUAAAAAUUUGGGGGUUACAAAUCUUUUUUAUUUACACCUCUUUAAAACUUUUCAAAAUUUAUUCAAAUUCCAACAG